GACGAACGCUGGCGGCGUGCUUAACACAUGCAAGUCGAACGGAAAGGCCCUGCUUUUGUGGGGUGCUCGAGUGGCGAACGGGUGAGUAACACGUGAGUAACCUGCCCUUGACUUUGGGAUAACUUCAGGAAACUGGGGCUAAUACCGGAUAGGAGCUCCUGCUGCAUGGUGGGGGUUGGAAAGUUUCGGCGGUUGGGGAUGGACUCGCGGCUUAUCAGCUUGUUGGUGGGGUAGUGGCUUACCAAGGCUUUGACGGGUAGCCGGCCUGAGAGGGUGACCGGCCACAUUGGGACUGAGAUACGGCCCAGACUCCUACGGGAGGCAGCAGUGGGGAAUAUUGCACAAUGGGCGGAAGCCUGAUGCAGCAACGCCGCGUGCGUGAAGACGGCCUUCGGGUUGUAAACCGCUGUCGCCUGUGACGAAGCGUGAGUGACGGUAAUGGGUAAAGAAGCACCGGCUAACUACGUG
This 468-nucleotide ribosomal RNA is filed under the name uncultured bacterium. RNAcentral's name for it is "partial 16S ribosomal RNA". It matches the Rfam family "Bacterial small subunit ribosomal RNA", at positions 28 to 507 of the family's 1533-position model. The record is from RNAcentral.